ACUCUCUUUAAUCAAUUUCUCUCUCAACUCUCUCUCUCUCUAAAACUCACUUUCUCUCUCCCCAAUAUGUUUCUUCAACGCAACGACUUCUGGUGAAGCAGUUAUCGAUAACUUUCUAAUAAAUUAAGGCAAAGAGUUUCAACGAGAUGAAUUGCCUUCAAAAUCUCCCAAGGGUUUCAACUUCAGCAUCAAACAGCAUCAAACAAGAAACUCAUUUCUCUCUCUCAAAUCCAGACCUCUCUCUCAGUUCAGUUCCAGUUCGUCAGAAAAUGGCGUUUUCGGCAAGUUCGCCGUGAUGUCGGAAAUCGAGCUUCUUUCUGCGUUAAAGAUCGGGAAGUUGAAUGGGAUAGAGCUUUCAAUUUUUUUUGGAUAAUUUGGACUUCUUGAUUGCUUGCAUCCAGAAAACAAAUGGGAAGUUGAAUGGGAUAGAGCUUUCAAUUUUUCGGAUAAUUUGGACUUCUUGACUGCUUGCAUCCAGAAAACAAAUGGUAUGAGCUCCGAUGUGAAUUUGUAUUAGCUUAAUGAUGUUUUGUAAAUUUUUGAAUCUGUUUAUAGUUUGUUCAGUGUAUCCAAUCAGAUUCCCAUAUCAAUUGAUUAAUAUUUUCGGUUUUGUAAGUUUGUGAAUCCGUUAACAGUUCGUUUAGUGGCUUUGAUUAUUUGACAUUUCACGUAUCAGUUGAUUAAUGCUUUCUGUUUUGCAAAUAUGUAAAACUGUUUCAGGUCAGUGGCUUAGAUUAUUUUACACUUCACGUUGCACUGUUUUGUAAAUCUAUUGACCAUCUGUUUACAGUUUGUUCAGCGGUUUUCAGGUUUUGAAUGCCAUGUAUCAUAUCAUACUGUAUAAAACAGGGAUACACUCGUCGUAUGGAUGGUUAUGAAUUCAGAUUCAAUUGCUUGGUUUCUUGAAGCUAGGGUUUCCCCCUCUUGCUCUGUUCUUGAUCGAUUUCCCCCAGACACACUUACUGUGUGUUUUGGGGUUAUAAUUAGUUUUAAUAAUUAAGUUUAACACUUUUACAAUUUUACACCCUUUACUUAGUUACUGAUUUCAACCCUAAGCUUUUCCCCAUAUUUAACUACCAUCUUGCCAUAUAUCAUUAACUACGUUAAGUUUAUUAUUUAUCCUUACUUAUUUUUGUGUUAACAUUUUGGGGGUGUUACAAGUUUACCCACGUUUAGCUCAAGGAAAGAUGUGGGACGAAGCGAGUUUCACAUUUUUCAUCGUUUUUAAUUUUUUCGUUAGUAUAUACAUACACGCUUAUACAUGUAACUAUGGUUAAUUUUGACGUGAUUUUCUGAUGACUGUAACAUGCAUAAGUGGAUAUGGAAUCAAUGAAGCGGAACCGUUUGUCGAAUGGGAUAGUGGAGAAAAAUCUGAACUGGCAAAACUUGAUGAUUUACAGAUUCGAGAAUCCAUCAUAGCUUUCUUUCCACUGCUUCACUCUUGUGAGACCAUUGAGCGAUGAAAAAGAGCUCCAGCGGCUUGACCGGAUAUUUUUAGGUUUCAACAAUCACCAUUAACAACUUCUUGCCGCAAUUCCAUCUCAACCCUUCACACGAACCCAUAUUUUUAGCUGAAGCAAAUUCAUGAGAUCAAGGACUUCCUUAUUACCGUAAGAUGGAAGGACGCACGAUCCGUGAAGAUCAAAAGGACCGAGGAUAUUGUCAAGUUCAAGGUUUGAGCGUGCAAGACGUUUAAGCUGUAUCUUUCAAAGAUUCGAAGACCUUUAAGUUAUUGUUAUGUGGUUAGUUAAUGAUUGUUUUGUUUGCUAUAAGGGAUCUUGUAGUGUUUAAUUUUAAAUUGUUGAUUAUACUUGGUUGAUGUUAAUGUUAAUUUGGAUGGAUGGAUGUUAAUCUUAUAUCAUGUUUUUUUUAGUUG
RNAcentral lists this long non-coding RNA (1876 nucleotides) under Helianthus annuus (common sunflower). Its description in RNAcentral is "hypothetical non coding rna". Lineage: Eukaryota; Viridiplantae; Streptophyta; Magnoliopsida; Asterales; Asteraceae. The record is from RNAcentral.